Molecule: small nuclear RNA, 54 nt
Organism: Oncorhynchus kisutch (coho salmon)
Lineage: Eukaryota; Metazoa; Chordata; Actinopteri; Salmoniformes; Salmonidae
Gene: U7
Rfam family: U7 small nuclear RNA
About the family: Animal histone pre-mRNAs are spliced by a different mechanism than nuclear pre-mRNAs and self-splicing introns. This processing involves the U7 snRNP, which contains only one RNA species: U7.
Source: Ensembl
GAACAUUUGAUCUUUUACUAUUUCUCCAGUAGGUUUCCUCAAGGAGAAGCCCUC